GAUGAACGCUAGCUACAGGCUUAACACAUGCAAGUCGAGGGGCAGCAUGGUCUUAGCUUGCUAAGGCCGAUGGCGACCGGCGCACGGGUGAGUAACACGUAUCCAACCUGCCGUCUACUCUUGGACAGCCUUCUGAAAGGAAGAUUAAUACAAGAUGGCAUCAUGAGUCCACAUGUUCACAUGAUUAAAGGUAUUCCGGUAGACGAUGGGGAUGCGUUCCAUUAGAUAGUAGGCGGGGUAACGGCCCACCUAGUCUUCGAUGGAUAGGGGUUCUGAGAGGAAGGUCCCCCACAUUGGAACUGAGACACGGUCCAAACUCCUACGGGAGGCAGCAGUGAGGAAUAUUGGUCAAUGGGCGAGAGCCUGAACCAGCCAAGUAGCGUGAAGGAUGACUGCCCUAUGGGUUGUAAACUUCUUUUAUAAAGGAAUAAAGUCGGGUAUGGAUACCCGUUUGCAUGUACUUUAUGAAUAAGGAUCGGCUAACUCCGUGCCAGCAGCCGCGGUAAUACGGAGGAUCCGAGCGUUAUCCGGAUUUAUUGGGUUUAAAGGGAGCGUAGAUGGAUGUUUAAGUCAGUUGUGAAAGUUUGCGGCUCAACCGUAAAAUUGCAGUUGAUACUGGAUAUCUUGAGUGCAGUUGAGGCAGGCGGAAUUCGUGGUGUAGCGGUGAAAUGCUUAGAUAUCACGAAGAACUCCGAUUGCGAAGGCAGCCUGCUAAGCUGCAACUGACAUUGAGGCUCGAAAGUGUGGGUAUCAAACAGGAUUAGAUACCCUGGUAGUCCACACGGUAAACGAUGAAUACUCGCUGUUUGCGAUAUACAGCAAGCGGCCAAGCGAAAGCGUUAAGUAUUCCACCUGGGGAGUACGCCGGCAACGGUGAAACUCAAAGGAAUUGACGGGGGCCCGCACAAGCGGAGGAACAUGUGGUUUAAUUCGAUGAUACGCGAGGAACCUUACCCGGGCUUAAAUUGCAGAUGAAUUACGGUGAAAGCCGUGAGCCGCAAGGCAUCUGUGAAGGUGCUGCAUGGUUGUCGUCAGCUCGUGCCGUGAGGUGUCGGCUUAAGUGCCAUAACGAGCGCAACCCUUGUUGUCAGUUACUAACAGGUUCCGCUGAGGACUCUGACAAGACUGCCAUCGUAAGAUGUGAGGAAGGUGGGGAUGACGUCAAAUCAGCACGGCCCUUACGUCCGGGGCUACACACGUGUUACAAUGGGGGGUACAGAGGGCCGCUACCACGCGAGUGGAUGCCAAUCCCAAAAACCUCUCUCAGUUCGGACUGGAGUCUGCAACCCGACUCCACGAAGCUGGAUUCGCUAGUAAUCGCGCAUCAGCCACGGCGCGGUGAAUACGUUCCCGGGCCU
This 1358-nucleotide ribosomal RNA is filed under the name uncultured bacterium. RNAcentral's name for it is "bacterial SSU rRNA". It matches the Rfam family "Bacterial small subunit ribosomal RNA", at positions 28 to 1381 of the family's 1533-position model. The record is from RNAcentral.